CAUGUCUAUAUGGUUGUUAUAUAAAGUCUAGCCUGCCCACUGAUUUAGUUUAAAGGGCCGCGGUAUAUUGACCGUGCGAAGGUAGCAUAAUCAUUAGUCUUUUAAUUGAAGGCUUGUAUGAAUGGUUGGACAAAAAGUAAGCUGUCUCAAUUAUAAUAAUUGAAUUUAACUUUUAAGUGAAAAGGCUUAAAUAAAUUAAGGGGACGAUAAGACCCUAUAAAGCUUGACAAUAAUUUAAUUAUACUAUCAAUUGUUAGUAUAACUUGGUUUUAAUUAAUAUUUGUUGCGUUGGGGCGACGAGAAUAUAAUAGGUAACUGUUCUUAAAUAUUUAAUAACAAAUAUAAUUGGAAAUUAGUGUGAUCCUCUAUUAGCGAUUAAAAGAUUAAGUUACUUUAGGGAUAACAGCGUAAUCUUCUUUGAGAGUCCCUAUCGACAAGAAGGUUUGCGACCUCGAUGUUGAAUUAAGGUAUCCUUAUGAUGCAG
RNAcentral lists this ribosomal RNA (484 nucleotides) under Penaeus indicus. RNAcentral's name for it is "partial large subunit ribosomal RNA". It matches the Rfam family "Bacterial large subunit ribosomal RNA", at positions 1830 to 2558 of the family's 2925-position model. Lineage: Eukaryota; Metazoa; Arthropoda; Malacostraca; Decapoda; Penaeidae. The record is from RNAcentral.